RNAcentral lists this ribosomal RNA (371 nucleotides) under Lynceus susanneae. RNAcentral's name for it is "partial large subunit ribosomal RNA". It matches the Rfam family "Bacterial large subunit ribosomal RNA", at positions 1932 to 2533 of the family's 2925-position model. Lineage: Eukaryota; Metazoa; Arthropoda; Branchiopoda; Diplostraca; Lynceidae. The record is from RNAcentral.
CGCGGUAAUUUGACCGUGCUAAGGUAGCAUAAUCAUUUGUCUUUUAAUUGAAGACUGGAAUGAAAGGCGUAACAAGAAAUUUGCUGUCUUAAAAAAAUAAAUUGAAUUUUAUUUUUUAGUGAAAAAGCUAAAAUAGUUUUGUGGGACAAUAAAACCCUAUAAAUCUAAAUUAUUUUAAAAUGAUUAAUUUUUAAAUAUAAUUUUAUUGGGGCGAUAAUAAGAAAAAAUUAUCUCUGGAAAUUUUAAUAUACAAAUAAUUAAAUAAUAUUAUAAUCCUAAAAGAUGGAUUAUAAAAAUAAGUUACUUUAGGGAUAACAGCGAAAUAUUUUUUUAGAGUUCCUAUCGAAAAAAAUGUUUGCGACCUCGAUGUU